Gossypium hirsutum (cotton) is the source of this 145-nucleotide non-coding RNA. The record is from Rfam. Lineage: Eukaryota; Viridiplantae; Streptophyta; Magnoliopsida; Malvales; Malvaceae.
UGUUAAAAAUUUUAUCCAUUUCCAUUGUUAAAAAUUAGCACGACUAAUAGAAUAACCAAACAAUGACCCGUGGUGUGCCAUGUGUAUCUCAUGCUGUCGUACAUGAAUAAUUUUUUAACAAUAAAAAUAGAUGAAAUUUUUAAUA